RNAcentral lists this ribosomal RNA (253 nucleotides) under uncultured bacterium. RNAcentral's name for it is "partial 16S ribosomal RNA". It matches the Rfam family "Bacterial small subunit ribosomal RNA", at positions 524 to 776 of the family's 1533-position model. The record is from RNAcentral.
UACAGAGGGUGCGAACGUUGUUCGGAAUUACUGGGCAUAAAGAGCACGUAGGCGGCACCGCAAGUGUGGGGUGAAAUCCUGGAGCUCAACUCCAGAACUGCCUUUGAUACUGAGAAGCUUGAGUCCGGGAGAGGUGAGUGGAACUGCGAGUGUAGAGGUGAAAUUCGUAGAUAUUCGCAAGAACACCAGUGGCGAAGGCGGCUCACUGGCCCGGUACUGACGCUGAGGUGCGAAAGCGUGGGGAGCAAACAGG